RNAcentral lists this non-coding RNA (48 nucleotides) under unclassified sequences. RNAcentral's name for it is "Li+-I sequence". It matches the Rfam family "nhaA-I RNA". Rfam says of the family: Acidobacteria, Alphaproteobacteria, Betaproteobacteria and Gammaproteobacteria, Verrucomicrobia, cand. division NC10. Downstream gene The record is from Rfam by way of RNAcentral.
GGGUGCAGUCCCGGCACUGCAGGACAACGGAUGGUCGGGCCGCCAUCC